CGGCGAGUGAAGCGGCAACAGCUCAAAUUUGAAAUCUGGCCCUUGGGUCCGAGUUGUAAUUUGUAGAGGAUGCUUUUGGUACGGUGCCUUCCGAGUUCCCUGGAACGGGACGCCAUAGAGGGUGAGAGCCCCGUCUGGUUGGACACCAAGCCUCUGUAAAGCUCCUUCGACGAGUCGAGUAGUUUGGGAAUGCUGCUCUAAAUGGGAGGUAUAUGUCUUCUAAAGCUAAAUACCGGCCAGAGACCGAUAGCGCACAAGUAGAGUGAUCGAAAGAUGAAAAGCACUUUGAAAAGAGGGUUAAAUAGUACGUGAAAUUGUUGAAAGGGAAGCGCUUGUGACCAGACUUGAGCCCGGUUAAUCAUCCAGCCUUCUGGCUGGUGCACUUGGCCGGCUCAGGCCAGCAUCAGUUCGGCGCGGGGGAUAAAGGCUUCGGGAAUGUGGCUCCUCCGGGAGUGUUAUAGCCCGUUGUGUAAUACCCUGUACUGGACUGAGGUUCGCGCAUCUGCAAGGAUGCUGGCGUAAUGGUCAUCAGCGACCCGUCUUGAAACACGGACCAAGGAGUCGUCUUCGUAUGCGAGUGUUCGGGUGUCAAACCCCUACGCGUAAUGAAAGUGAACGCAGGUGAGAGCUUCGGCGCAUCAUCGACCGAUCCUGAUGUUCUCGGACGGAUUUGAGUAAGAGCAUACGGAGCCGGACCCGAAAGAAGGUGAACUAUGCCUGUAUAGGGUGAAGCCAGAGGAAACUCUGGUGGAGGCUCGCAGCGGUUCUGACGUGCAAAUCGAUCGUCAAAUAU
RNAcentral lists this ribosomal RNA (793 nucleotides) under Pseudocosmospora sp. A.R. 4768. RNAcentral's name for it is "eukaryotic LSU rRNA". It matches the Rfam family "Eukaryotic large subunit ribosomal RNA", at positions 87 to 912 of the family's 3401-position model. Lineage: Eukaryota; Fungi; Ascomycota; Sordariomycetes; Hypocreales; Nectriaceae. The record is from RNAcentral.